RNAcentral lists this ribosomal RNA (1064 nucleotides) under Escherichia coli. Its description in RNAcentral is "partial 23S ribosomal RNA". It matches the Rfam family "Bacterial large subunit ribosomal RNA", at positions 165 to 1269 of the family's 2925-position model. Lineage: Bacteria; Pseudomonadati; Pseudomonadota; Gammaproteobacteria; Enterobacterales; Enterobacteriaceae. The record is from RNAcentral.
CAUAGGUUAAUGAGGCGAACCGGGGGAACUGAAACAUCUAAGUACCCCGAGGAAAAGAAAUCAACCGAGAUUCCCCCAGUAGCGGCGAGCGAACGGGGAGGAGCCCAGAGCCUGAAUCAGUGUGUGUGUUAGUGGAAGCGUCUGGAAAGGCGCGCGAUACAGGGUGACAGCCCCGUACACAAAAAUGCACAUACUGUGAGCUCGAUGAGUAGGGCGGGACACGUGGUAUCCUGUCUGAAUAUGGGGGGACCAUCCUCCAAGGCUAAAUACUCCUGACUGACCGAUAGUGAACCAGUACCGUGAGGGAAAGGCGAAAAGAACCCCGGCGAGGGGAGUGAAAAAGAACCUGAAACCGUGUACGUACAAGCAGUGGGAGCCUCUUAAUGGGGUGACUGCGUACCUUUUGUAUAAUGGGUCAGCGACUUAUAUUCUGUAGCAAGGUUAACCGAAUAGGGGAGCCGAAGGGAAACCGAGUCUUAACUGGGCGUUAAGUUGCAGGGUAUAGACCCGAAACCCGGUGAUCUAGCCAUGGGCAGGUUGAAGGUUGGGUAACACUAACUGGAGGACCGAACCGACUAAUGUUGAAAAAUUAGCGGAUGACUUGUGGCUGGGGGUGAAAGGCCAAUCAAACCGGGAGAUAGCUGGUUCUCCCCGAAAGCUAUUUAGGUAGCGCCUCGUGAAUUCAUCUCCGGGGGUAGAGCACUGUUUCGGCAAGGGGGUCAUCCCGACUUACCAACCCGAUGCAAACUGCGAAUACCGGAGAAUGUUAUCACGGGAGACACACGGCGGGUGCUAACGUCCGUCGUGAAGAGGGAAACAACCCAGACCGCCAGCUAAGGUCCCAAAGUCAUGGUUAAGUGGGAAACGAUGUGGGAAGGCCCAGACAGCCAGGAUGUUGGCUUAGAAGCAGCCAUCAUUUAAAGAAAGCGUAAUAGCUCACUGGUCGAGUCGGCCUGCGCGGAAGAUGUAACGGGGCUAAACCAUGCACCGAAGCUGCGGCAGCGACACUAUGUGUUGUUGGGUAGGGGAGCGUUCUGUAAGCCUGUGAAGGUGUGCUGUGAGGC